This 529-nucleotide long non-coding RNA is filed under the name Bos indicus x Bos taurus (hybrid cattle). RNAcentral describes it as "lncRNA (ENSBIXG00005006311.1)". The record is from RNAcentral. Lineage: Eukaryota; Metazoa; Chordata; Mammalia; Artiodactyla; Bovidae.
UAGAUGAGUAGACUAACUGUCCAUUGUAGAAUAAUGAAGACUUUCCCCCUGAUUUGUAGCCCGUGCUAGACUGAACCAAUUGCCAACAUAAAGAAGCCCUGGGAAGAAGAUUUUGAGGACACCAGAUAAGACUUCAAUCUAAGACAGAGGGAUUUGUAUGGAAAUGCUUAGCCUCUUGCCAGAAGGAAAGGAAGUAGAAGUUUAAACAAAUGGAUCUGAAGCCUUUGGAGACGUGACUCCAAAGAACCCACUCACAGCUGAGAAUCAUUAAGAUGGCAUUCAUGUGACUUGAGAUUUUCCAUGUGUGAUGACUGCCUGUUUCAUCAAGUGACGUCGUUAGAGGCUGAAUCUACCUGUGCGCUGCAUGGCUGUGAUUUCACUACAACCAAGCUUUCCCUUGUGUGGGAAGGAAACACUAUGGACCUGCUGGGAGUUGCACAUCAGCCUCGAUUUCUCAGGAACCAGGAGCUCCAGCUUAUCAAGGACCUGAUGGUAGGUGGCCUGCAGUCCCCAGGUGCCGGGCACUGAC